CCGCAUACUGUAACUAAAGACUGAAAGCGUGGGUGACAAGCGCAUCGGCUUGUUUAAGGUCAAGGAUUUGCGGUUAUAUACGAU
This 84-nucleotide non-coding RNA is filed under the name unclassified sequences. RNAcentral describes it as "RAGATH-26 RNA". It matches the Rfam family "RAGATH-26 RNA". From Rfam's summary of the family: Environmental. The record is from Rfam by way of RNAcentral.